GCGGCACAGAGGGAAGCAGGUGGCGACACCGCGCGGAACCGAAGCCGUUCUCAGUUCGGAUCGGAGUCUGCAACCCGACUCCGUGAAGCUGGAUUCGCUAGUAAUCGCGCAUCAGCCAUGGCGCGGUGAAUACGUUCCCGGGCCUUGUACACACCGCCCGUCAAGCCAUGGGAGCCGGGGGUGCUUGAAGUGCGUCGCCGCAAGGCGCGCCCUAGAGCAAAACCGGUGACUGGGGCUAAGUCGUAACAAGGUAAC
RNAcentral lists this ribosomal RNA (255 nucleotides) under uncultured bacterium. RNAcentral's name for it is "partial 16S ribosomal RNA". It matches the Rfam family "Bacterial small subunit ribosomal RNA", at positions 1234 to 1500 of the family's 1533-position model. The record is from RNAcentral.